GAUGAACGCUGGCGGCGUGCCUAAUACAUGCAAGUCGAGCGAACGGACGAGAAGCUUGCUUCUCUGAUGUUAGCGGCGGACGGGUGAGUAACACGUGGAUAACCUACCUAUAAGACUGGGAUAACUUCGGGAAACCGGAGCUAAUACCGGAUAAUAUUUUGAACCGCAUGGUUCAAAAGUGAAAGACGGCCUUGCUGUCACUUAUAGAUGGAUCCGCGCUGCAUUAGCUAGUUGGUAAGGUAACGGCUUACCAAGGCAACGAUGCAUAGCCGCCCUGAGAGGGUGAUCGGCCACACUGGAACUGAGACACGGUCCAGACUCCUACGGGAGGCAGCAGUAGGGAAUCUUCCGCAAUGGGCGAAAGCCUGACGGAGCAACGCCGCGUGAGUGAUGAAGGUCUUCGGAUCGUAAAACUCUGUUAUUAGGGAAGAACAUAUGUGUAAGUAACUGUGCACAUCUUGACGGUACCUAAUCAGAAAGCCACGGCUAACUACGUG
RNAcentral lists this ribosomal RNA (497 nucleotides) under uncultured bacterium. RNAcentral's name for it is "partial 16S ribosomal RNA". It matches the Rfam family "Bacterial small subunit ribosomal RNA", at positions 28 to 507 of the family's 1533-position model. The record is from RNAcentral.